RNAcentral lists this long non-coding RNA (1021 nucleotides) under Canis lupus familiaris (dog). RNAcentral describes it as "lncRNA (ENSCAFG00030010760.1)". The record is from RNAcentral. Lineage: Eukaryota; Metazoa; Chordata; Mammalia; Carnivora; Canidae.
AUAUAUGUCUCAAUCAUUGGUUGGCAUGUUUAUUAAGUCUCUUGUAAGUAUUGCUUUUCCUUCUCAUUUUUUUCUUCUUUCAUUCUUCUCAAGGAAGAAUUCUUGAAAUGUUUUUGGUGCAAAGAGGUGGUUUUAUUAGAGCAGGGGGACAGGACCUGUGGACAGAAAGUACGGCACUGGGAUUGUGAAGAGCAAUUGAUAUAUAUUUUUAAGUUGGAGGUGGGGGGGGAUGAAAGAAGUUUCCAAAAAGAUUUUCAUAUGACUUACAGGGUUUGGGAUCUGGCUAUUGGCAAGCUAAGGUUUGCUAAGGUUGCUUUUUGCCUCUAGCAAAGCAUUAACAUUAGGUUGUUGAGAGUUCCUUGAGGAAUGUCUUACUCUCCUGGGCCUCAAGCAUUUGUCAAUGGGCUUCAAGUUGUAAGUUGACUUAAUUUUAUCUACAUUUUUUAUGCCUUUGUUUUUGUCAUCAGAUAUAUUCUCCUUUCAUUUUGGCCGCAGGACCAAGUGCAGAGUGGACUCCUUCUGGAUGUUGUAGUCGGACAGGGUGCACCCAUCUUCUAGCUGUUUGCCGGCAAAGAUCAACCUCUGCUGGUCAGGUGAAGGACCAGGUGCAGAGUGGACUCCUUCUGGAUGUUGUAGUCGGACAGGACGGAUGCUUCCAAUUCAAAUUCAGUUACUCCGAUUGUAAUAUCCUGGUUCUCCGGGCUCCUGGGUGGCUCAGUCAGUUAAACACCUGCCUUCGGUUUGGGUCGUAAUUCCCAAAUCCUGGAAUCCAGCCUCCAGUAGGGCUUACCACUCAGUGGGGAGCCUGCUUCUCCCUCUGUCUCUGCCUACCUACCACUCCCCUCUCCUUGUGCUCUCUCUGUCAAAUAAAUAAAUAAAUAAAUAAUAAUAAAUAAAUAAAUAAAGUCUUUAAAAAAUAAAAACAACAACAAAAUAAAAGCCUGGUUCCCAACUCAAACCAUCAUACUUACUCAUUUGCUUUAUCCAAAAUAUAGACAAUAGUUUCAGAAUAAUAAUUGCA